Non-coding RNA from Pelobates cultripes (western spadefoot toad), 401 nucleotides. The record is from the annotation of a GenBank genome assembly. NCBI's taxonomy places the organism in Eukaryota, Metazoa, Chordata, Amphibia, Anura, Pelobatidae.
CAACAUAUUAGGCAGCAGAAGGAUCAUUUGACAUUUUUUGAUUUGUCUCUGGAGGCUGAGGUGCCCUAAGGAUGAAGACUUUAAUCCUUCAUGGGGUCACUUGCCGGGCAGUGAAAGGAAGGAGUAUAAGUACCAGCAUGUUCUACUAGAUUCAGGAAACUGAUACCCAUGGCUUCUCUUCUGCUCGUUAGACUGGAAGGCAAAAUGCAUGCAGAUUUACAACAUCAAUCCAUUCUACAGGCUGGAAUCAACCUUUCCUUAGACAGGUCAUAUAUUUUGGUUGGACAUUUUUUAGAAUUUGUUUUGAGAUUAUUGAUUCCGUUUUACAAAUAUGAGACAAUGUAUCCCAUCUCUUGGCACUAUCAUUCAAAAUCCUCUUAAAAAGUGACUAUAUUUUUAGC